Molecule: ribosomal RNA, 481 nt
Filed under: Haemophilus haemolyticus
Lineage: Bacteria; Pseudomonadati; Pseudomonadota; Gammaproteobacteria; Pasteurellales; Pasteurellaceae
Description: bacterial SSU rRNA
Rfam family: Bacterial small subunit ribosomal RNA
Source: RNAcentral
ACUUGAAUUGAAGAGUUUGAUCAUGGCUCAGAUUGAACGCUGGCGGCAGGCUUAACACAUGCAAGUCGAACGGUAGCAGGAGAAAGCUUGCUUUCUUGCUGACGAGUGGCGGACGGGUGAGUAAUGCUUGGGAAUCUGGCUUAUGGAGGGGGAUAACGACGGGAAACUGUCGCUAAUACCGCGUAGAAUCGGAAGAUGAAAGUGCGGGACCGCAAGGCCGCAUGCCAUGAGAUGAGCCCAAGUGGGAUUAGGUAGUUGGUGGGGUAAAGGCCUACCAAGCCUGCGAUCUCUAGCUGGUCUGAGAGGAUGGCCAGCCACACUGGAACUGAGACACGGUCCAGACUCCUACGGGAGGCAGCAGUGGGGAAUAUUGCGCAAUGGGGGGAACCCUGACGCAGCCAUGCCGCGUGAAUGAAGAAGGCCUUCGGGUUGUAAAGUUCUUUCGGUAUUGAGGAAGGAGAGUAUGUUAAUAGCAUACAUU